Molecule: long non-coding RNA, 952 nt
Filed under: Linum usitatissimum (flax)
Lineage: Eukaryota; Viridiplantae; Streptophyta; Magnoliopsida; Malpighiales; Linaceae
Description: long non-coding RNA (LUSI_LNC003415)
Source: RNAcentral
GGCAAAUAAAUAAUUUACUACACACGCCAUGCCGCUUUCAUACAUCAUUUUCCUAUCAAUUUGAAUGCCAUUAAUUGAAUGCAACUAUUCACAAGCUUUGACUUUGUAAUGGUCACUAAUCAUAUAAUAAUAAUAAUUUUAAUCACUGGGGUUUCCACCACUUCCGCCGCAGCUAGCUCCUCCUCCACGUAAAUUCAAUAAAUAAAGUAUAUAAUUAAGAAAUCUCAGUAACUUACACUGCAAUUCAAUUUCUGUAUCCAACUCUAGAUGCUUUUCCAAAAAAAAGUCUGUAUACAGUACAAGCUAGCUAGUUAGCUACCUGACUAAAUGAAUUAAUCAACAAUUUUAUACUAACUAAAUACAUUACAAGGAUGUAAAUAAAAAUAUCUCUAUUAAUUACUAAAAUAAAUUUAAAGCAAAAAAAAAACAACAAAUUUCGGUUGCUGAAGACUUGUUGAUCAAUUGUGAAGCGGGUUGGGACCGGCCGGCACUGUUCUAUAAGAGGAUCCGUAAACCCGGUCUGGUUCUCUGGUUCCCUGCGGAGACUCUGCCUUGGGAAAAUAGAAAUUAUGCGAGGGCGACGACGAAGAAGAAUAAGAAGACGACAUUUGAUGAUUUGAUUGCUUGAAUUCGCCGUUGCUGUCUGGAGUAGUGGUGAAGCGGAGGUGGCGGCAGGUGCAGGGGGAGAGUUCCGGCGCGAGAAUUACGAGGAGGAGCAGAAAUAGCGGCACCCGAUUUGGAGUUGUCAUGAUUUUAUCGGAGGGAGAAGUGAGUUGGGGGGCGGAGGAGAAAGGGGGGAAGCUAGCUAGUUUUUCACUCAGAGCACAAAAAAUAGAAGCUUGUCUUUUGGGGGAGACUAUGUCUCUCUCUCUUUCUGUGUAUUAAGGAAUGGGGGUGGGAUGAAAACAAAAGGACAUUUUCAUGUGGGAGGCAAUUUGUCUGGGGUUUGUCC